GAUAAAAUGUCUGACUAAAGAGAUAAACUGUAAAUUUAUUUAUGAAUUAAAAAUUCUUUUAUUA
Molecule: transfer RNA, 64 nt
Filed under: Mengenilla moldrzyki
Lineage: Eukaryota; Metazoa; Arthropoda; Insecta; Strepsiptera; Mengenillidae
Description: tRNA-Tyr
Source: RNAcentral